CAAUGUUAAUAUUAUUUAGUUUGGAACAUUUUAAUUUUAUAUUGUAAAUUUUAAACUAUGGAAACUGAUGGAUCAGAGUAUGUAGGUCAAUCGAAUAAUUGUAUUGAGGAAUCUCAAUCGGCAGUCAACAAUUUGAUUAUAGAUUACUACAAAAAAUUUGGGAGAAAGCGGGACUUAGAACAAUUUUUUUCUCUAUCUACAGCCCAAAGUGAUAUAAGAGAUCCCACGAGUUUGUUUUGGAGAAAGAUGAAGUCUCAAACUGAUUCUUCGGAUUCUGGAGAGAAAAAAAGUGAAUCGUCCGCAGAACUUUGUAGAAUAUCUAUACAAUGCUCUAUUCCCGAGCCUUCCACUUCACAGAAUAAUUAUAAAAUCCUCAAAAGUGAUUCAGAAUCUCCACCAAUUAUAAGAGAUGAAGCAGAGCCAGUAGGUUCCAGAAUCUCGGACAAUGAAUCAAUAAGAUCAGAAGAUAUGUAUUCUCAUAAAUCAGUUGAUGGCACAUUGGAUACUUCAACAAAUAAGCCACAUUCACCAACUAGCAGUAUUACAUCUCAACGAAAACUUGAAUGGGAUUCCUUAGCUGAUGUUGGUUACGGUAACACAAGUGAUAGAAAAAAUUCAGCAUCAAGUUUAAGCACAAUAGAAAGGAUGGCAUUGCAUCAACAAUACUCAAAUAAUGAUACGAAGCAAGACUCAGAUUUAGGAAUGCCCACAGCACAAUCAACACCUUUAGAUGUUAAUGACAAUAAAGCAAAAAACAAAAAGGGUUUCGCUAAGAAAACAACAAAAAUUUAUAAUAGAGAUAUUGAUUCAGUCAAUCUUAAUAUUUCUCAAAACUCUGAAAAUAAUCGGCAACCUAUAAAUGUCAAUUUAACAAAACAUAUUUCUUUCAAUGUUGAAAAAGAUGGAGGUGUUAGUAUAGAAAAUAUAUCGAAAAGUGUAUCUGUAAGUCCAGAAAAAGUUUCAGUCGAAACAGAAGUCACACCUCAACGUACAAUAGACAAAGAGAUACAAACAACUUUGAUUAAAAAUAAACAAAAAUCAAGCAGUUCUAGUGAUUUCAAAGAGCAACACGCUAAAGCAAUUCCUGUUCUUAUCAACUUGAAUACUUUAAAGAAAAAAACACGUAAAAAGAGGGUUAUGCGAAUAAAACGACAGCAAAGGAGAAAAAGUUUAGUCACUGAAAAAAAAAUUGCUCCACUUGAAAAAAGUACAGAACAGUUGUCGGAAGCAGAGAGUUUUGAAUAUAUGCCAGGUCAUAUUUACAAUCAAAAUCAAAUGAAUGAACUAAAUAAAAACAGUAAUGAUUAUGGUAAUAAAUCUAGCCUAGAAUCAAGCGCUGGACUCACAACCGACUCAAGUAAAACAAUAAAAUAUUCUUUUACAAAAGAUUUAGAAACAGGCAUUGAUAUACUCAAAAAGGCUCUAGAACAUAGACAUGAAGAUUCAAAAUUAAAAAAGAAACUAAUUAAAGAAGUAGUUCAGAGACUUAUCAAAACAAAAUAUAAGGAUGAUGAUAGUUCAACUGAAUUUCUAUCGGGCUUAAGUUUUGAUAGUAAAAAAAUAGAUAAACAUAAUCUUACCCAUACAACAUCUAGUACCUCAGAUGCAAAUAACACUGCCACUAAAACCAAAACAACAAAACCAAAUAAGUCUAUUUUACGUAUGGACAAAUUUAAUGCUAAUGCAAUAGCUUCCACCUCACAAAGUGUCCCCAAUUUACCCGUUCUUUCGAAGAUUGACACAGCUAUAACUACCAAAAAGGCAGCUGACUUGUCUAAUACAGAUUCAGACAUAUCAAGCAAAAAUAGAAAAAUAUUAGAUACGGGAAUUGAUAAAACUUCAUCAGAUAUAUUAUAUAAAAAGUAUUUAGAUGCAUUGAAGAGAGAAGAGAAUUACAAAAAACAUUUAAAGGAUAAGGAAAUAUUUCUUAAACAAAAACUUGUUGGUUCUGAUCUUGCAUUCAAUGUUGUGACGCAAGCUGAAAGAAGGAAAAAUAAUUUGAAAGACCUCAUGAAUGAUUUGGUACGGAACAACUAUGAUGAUGGAUCAGGCGAUGCCAGUAAAUUGGAAGGUGGAUCCAAUUCUAAUAUCAAUUAUCAAAAUUAUAAUUCUAUAAGAAAACAAAGAAGUCAUUCUGUUUUUACUCUGUCAUCUGGUAACUCUGAUAAUUACACAAAGAGAUCAAAUGAUAAUAAAAAACAACAGAAUAAAGUUGAUAGUGCCAAAGAUUGUUAUCAUAGAGCUGAGAGGCAUUAUUGUUGUUGUCCUUAUCACACAUCACACUCACGAAUCGGAGUUAUAGAUAGUGCAGUACAAGUAAAUAUAAAAAGUAAUGACGUCUGUCCUGAUACAAAAGCUACACAAAGUUCGCCACAAGCAUACAAAGAAGUGAGUGAACCUAAAAUAUGCCAACAUAAAUGCGAUAAAUGUAAUAGGCCUCAGUCUAAAACUCAAAUUGUAUCGGAUUGUGCAAAUGAAGAUAUCAAAUAUUUUUGUGUCUGCACUGGAGAUGAAGGAAUGCAGAAAGUACCUGAAAAUAUCUUAAUUUACAAAUGUUCAAGACUAACCAAUAAGUACUUAAACUUAGGUGAAAAUUUGACAUCAAAAGUAUCUAAUACUGCGAGUGAACAGUUCUCUAGUAAUUCUACCUCACCGCGUUUAAAAAUAUCGACAUUCAAUAGUGAAGAUUGUGAGAAAAAGUGUUUAAUUAUCAAAGACAAUAAUAGUUUAAAUAAUCAGACAUCAAAAUCAUCACAAACAAAUCUGAACUUACCGAUUAAACUUCAAAGCAAAUCUAGUGAACAAAGUCUUGAUUCGUCAUCAUCUGGAGAUAAAGUUAAUAUCAAGAAACUUGAUAAUGUAAAAACUAUGACAGAUCCUUUAAAUGAAAGAACAAGUAAAUUCAUACAUGAGGCUACUCGGUGUAUACAAACUGAAAUAAGUAUUGAUCCAAAAAUAUCUGAUCCUUCGUUAUCCGAUAUAAAUAUUAUUAAUGAUAAAAAUUGUGUUGAAUUAAUAAGUGAAAAAUACAAAGAAGUUUUACAGUCAGGUUCUAAAAGUAAUAUCAGAAAACAAACCGAAUUGAGAAGUGGUACUAGUUCUGCGGAGAGUAAUGCUAUAUGUGGAAAAGAUCCAUCGGAAUGUGUGUGUAUAAAUGUUAGAGAACAAUCUACGAAUACUCUUGAAAAAUACGAUAAAGAAAUUCAAUCGUCUGUUGAAAUUAACAAAAAUAUACCUGUUCCGAUAGGUAAACAGAGUUCUAACAAUUUCACUAUUCCAAUUCAAGGCACAAAUAUGACUCUUAAGGUAAGCUUAGGAUCUGGAAAGGAUGACAAUUCAUGUGCGCAAAGUUCAUUGCAAAACGAUUUUAAGACUAAUACAAAAUUUGUAUGUACGGGAACAGAGACAGAUAAAAAAAAUAUUGCUGAAAAUUAUACGUCAAUACGGGAAGAGUGUUCGAAAGGAGUGCAAUCAUUUAAUGCAAACAUAUUUGAUGAGUUUUAUCAACAAGCAAAGACAUGCUGUGAAAAUAAAAAUGCAGCUUGCGAAAAUAUCGGCACGGAUACACAAGAAACUACUCAUCCAUUUCCUAAAACUUGUCCUUUAAAUACGUGUCUCAUUGAUUGUCGCAAAUACAAUACAUUUCCAAAAAACGAUAAAAGAAAUGUACAGAAACCGUUACUACGUUCGAAUACAGAUACCGGCAAAAUGGAGAAAUCUUGCCAUGUCACAUUUACUCCAAUUAACAAUCAAGUCAUAAAAGAUGCAGAGGUUACGCCAAAUAUAGCACCGAUAUCUCAAAUGCAAUCAAAAUCUAUAUCUACAAUCAAUGUUGAAGAUAAAAUGCAAGAUAUUAGUUCAGAAAAAAACUCCUUAAAAUCAAUAGAUACAAAAAAGGGUAAAUCGAGUUCUGAAACAGGAGUACAGUUAAAAGAUUCUGUUAGUGACACUGAUAAUGAUACUAAAUCGUCCACCUCUAAAGAUCCUCUACUUGAUAUAAUACAAGAUAUAACGAGGCGUUAUUCUAAGAAAGAUAUUGAAAAGACUAAAAGAAAGAAAUGUUUUCGAGAAAUUAUCACAUUUCUAAAUUAUCUCUUAGAUACAGAAGAUAAUACAGAUCACGAAAGAAAUAAAACGUCAUCUUCAUCAGCCUGUGAAACUGUAUGUGAAUCCAAUGACAAGGUUUUGGCUAAAGACUCAUACAAAUCAUCUCCAAGGAAGACUUUUGUGGAUAAAGGUAUACAGUUAUCCACAGAGAAGGCGAAAAUUUACAAAACAUGUACAAAUUCUUCAGAUUCCCAGAUUAUUUCAACUGAAAUACCGAGUACAUCGUCCGAUUCGGCAACUUGUAAAAUAUUAAAUAAAAUAAAAAAGGAAUGCGAAAAAUAUCACCAAAAGCGUUGCAAAUCUCAUGGUAAAGAUAAAAAAUGCGAAGCUUCGAGCAGUACUUCUAUGAACUGCGACCAGUGUCGGCGAGUGCACCAUUGCUCGUGUAAAGUACAUAAAUGUAAAAACCACAAAGCUAGAAAAUCCAGUGAAAAAAAGAAAAAAUGUGUCGCCUACAACUUGAUCAUACAAACUUCGGACAGUGUUGUCAGUGAGGAGGUUGCUUGUGAUAGUAACCAUCAUAAGUUGCAAAAUAUUAUCGUCAAAGUACCGUCGAAACGGAAGGUCGGCAAUUUGCCGUUCAAAGAAGUGGCCACGAAAAUAGAAAAGGAUAUGCCCCAUUGCAGUCCGAGAUCUAAAAGUUACCGCUCAAGAAGUUUACCGAAUGACAGCGAGAUAUCUAGUACAGACGAAUUUCUUAGGAAAACUAAUGUCUACACUGUGAGGGAAUAUUUAGAACGAAAUCGUCCCGAUUUUGUAGAUAAGUGUUCAAAGCGGCAACAUUGCUUGAAGUUGAUCAACGAUACUAGACCAAGCGAAUGUGAUAAACCCCGGCUGAAUAUGAUAGUCGUUCACAAUCCGUCGUGUUUACCUAGUCCUUGUACGGAAGCUUGCAAUGUGUGUUACAAAGGUGUACCGAUAAAUAAUUGUAAUCCAUGUAUUGAUCCAUACAUGCAUUGCGUGCAAAACGAAGUAACAAGGAUUGGUGAGUCUAUCGAACAUGAUUUUUUACACGAGCAAAUGAACGCUCUGCCAAGCGGCAACUGCUGUCAUUGCAGUUGGACCGAGCACAGGCAUUGAGCGGUCUAAAUGAGUCUGAAUUGAAGAAUUUCGCCAGAGCACUAGGUCAUGAACUACGGCGAAAAAAAGUUGCACCAAAAUUUAUCAGUGAACGUGAAAUGAAGAAGCACUCUGAAAAAAUUUAUAAAUCACUACCAGAAGUUGUGCAUAAGAAAGAGGAAUUGAAAAAGGAGAACAUGAAAAAAACUAAUUUGCUGAUGGCAAAUAUUUUCAAGAAG
Molecule: RNA transcript, 5405 nt
Organism: Nymphalis io (European peacock)
Lineage: Eukaryota; Metazoa; Arthropoda; Insecta; Lepidoptera; Nymphalidae
Exons: 7
Source: RefSeq, a predicted model, not a curated record